UUGUCGUUCAUCAUGCACACCUUCAAAAACAAAAACGGUUAUGUUCUCUAAUUGUUUACAACUUUAACACACUCCUCUCAACUUUAUCAACGGCAUAAAGUGGAAGAACUUGCUACUUGAAAAUCACUUGAUGAUCAUAUUAGCAACAUUGUCAUCAACCGAAAAACGAAAAAAAUUAAUCUAGAAAAAUUUAAAAAUUUGAGAUCCUGUGCUGUCGUUCAUCAUGCACACCUUUAAAAAAAACGGUUAUGUUCUCUAAUUGUUUACAAC
This 270-nucleotide long non-coding RNA is filed under the name Lathyrus oleraceus (garden pea). RNAcentral describes it as "Pisum sativum (pea) long non-coding RNA (PSAT_LNC018766)". Lineage: Eukaryota; Viridiplantae; Streptophyta; Magnoliopsida; Fabales; Fabaceae. The record is from RNAcentral.